AUCACUUCUUGGCCUUUUGGCUAAGAUCAAGUGCAGUUUUAGAAGGCUGUUAAAAUUCAGGUUUGGUUUUCUAGGUUUUUUGUUUGUUUUGUUUAUUUAUUUGUUCAUUUUGCACCAGGGAUCAAACUCAGGACCUUGCAAUUGCAGGACAAAUGGGGCACUACUGAGCUAAAU
Molecule: small nuclear RNA, 174 nt
Filed under: Fukomys damarensis (Damara mole-rat)
Lineage: Eukaryota; Metazoa; Chordata; Mammalia; Rodentia; Bathyergidae
Description: U2 spliceosomal RNA
Source: Rfam by way of RNAcentral